This 253-nucleotide ribosomal RNA is filed under the name uncultured bacterium. RNAcentral describes it as "partial 16S ribosomal RNA". It matches the Rfam family "Archaeal small subunit ribosomal RNA", at positions 474 to 727 of the family's 1478-position model. The record is from RNAcentral.
UACCAGCACCCCGAGUGGUCGGGACGUUUAUUGGGCCUAAAGCAUCCGUAGCCGGUUCUACAAGUCUUCCGUUAAAUCCAUCUGCUUAACAGGUGGGCUGCGGAAGAUACUAUAGAGCUAGGAGGCGGGAGAGGCAAGCGGUACUCGAUGGGUAGGGGUAAAAUCCGUUGAUCCAUUGAAGACCACCAGUGGCGAAGGCGGCUUGCCAGAACGCGCUCGACGGUGAGGGAUGAAAGCUGGGGGAGCAAACCGG